GGCCCGUUCGUCUAGCGGCCCAGGACACAUCCCUCUCAAGGAUGAGAUCGCGGGUUCGAAUCCCGCACGGGCUACCA
This 77-nucleotide transfer RNA is filed under the name SAR202 cluster bacterium. RNAcentral describes it as "tRNA-Glu". It matches the Rfam family "tRNA". Rfam says of the family: Transfer RNA (tRNA) molecules are approximately 80 nucleotides in length. Lineage: Bacteria; Bacillati; Chloroflexota; Dehalococcoidia. The record is from RNAcentral.